GUUGUUCUGGUAUUCUGUCCCUGAAAGGGGGAUGUUCUUUUAGUACUGUAUAUCCUGAGAUUGGGCAAAACAUGAAAGCAAAAUCAUAAGGAGCUGUAUUACUGCCUGGUUCUUAGUAAGAUAAUAGAGAGUCUCAGAGGGUAAAUAUAAGCUGCUUUUUUACUUACUUUCUUAACGUUGUUUUCUGUGUUUUGUGCAUUCUGAACAGUGCAGGCAGGAAAACAGAAAUUGGCCUUUCUUCUCGGAAUACUUAAAAUUUCACUGAAAGCACAUCUCCAUGCCUUUUCAGCCCUGCAGAAACAUGUCUAAGUUUGUACAGCACUGAACAGAACAAGACCUUGGGCCCGUGACUGUCGAUUUCAGGCCCUGCUGCAGUACAAAUAAUUGACAGGAGUUAUUUGUUGUGAGAAAGCAGAUCCGUUCUCGAUCAGUGAUACCCAGUGAAAUGUAGGCAAGGUUUCAAAACAGAAAUCGGAGUCAGAGCCCGCCCAAGCUGUGUUGGAACUUUGCUCUGCUUCCUUUGAACCACUCCCUUUCCAUCAGAGAGGAAACGUGUGGCACGUACUGAGCUCAUGGGGCUGCUUGACCUGCCACUUCUGCCGUGUUUGUUCACUUCCCAGUCUUGGACAUCCAGUCACUAGUUCCUUAGUUCCUGCAGAGAUCCAGCACUGGCAUGAGAAACUUCUAAGCAUUAGGCUGCCCUGUGUGCUUGGCACCAAAUUCAGACAAUUUUGGGAACAGUUCAGAUCUUCUGGAGGCUGGUUGUUGGUAUAUACCACAGUGUUCAAAUGGAUAAUGAGCUUGUCUUCAGCCUGUAGAGAUACAAAACACCACAUUUUAACACCUGUGGAACAUCUGACAGCACAGCAAACUGACAACCAGAGCAGUGACUGAAAGCAAAUAUCCCUGCUGUCCUGUGGCUACAGUGUGUAUGCAUGGCUUGCACACCCUAGUUAGCCUCUGGGUAAAAGAAGGGUUGCUACCUCUGUGUGGUGCUAUGCUGAAGCCAGUUGGCUCUUUUAGCUGUGCUGCUUCCAGAGCCCAAGGGAUUUUGGCUGUCCAAGUGUAUGGGAAGACAAGUGUCUGUAACCUGCUGUUUGGGAACUUUCCAAAGAAACAGGGAAGAGCAGAGCCCAUUUCUCCCACUUUUGAAGGACCAGGGCACCUGGAAAGCAACACGAUUUGUUUUGUGAAGAAAGGUUUGACCACUGCAUUGAUCACUGUUCAGCAGUGA
RNAcentral lists this long non-coding RNA (1234 nucleotides) under Anas platyrhynchos platyrhynchos (common mallard). RNAcentral describes it as "lncRNA (ENSAPLG00000025172.1)". Lineage: Eukaryota; Metazoa; Chordata; Aves; Anseriformes; Anatidae. The record is from RNAcentral.